CCCGGUGCCAGAACAGAAGUUCUGAAGGAGCAGCAGCCCCCCGCCGUCCCCCUGGGCUCUCCCCCGACCCGGGACACCGGGCUGUGCCACAGGACCAGCUCUGCCAGAUUCGGGAGCCGCUCUCCCCGCUCCCCUCACGGCUCACACAGCAGAUUGCAUCCAUCCACAAGUUCAGCUUCAGAAAAGUCCUUUGUGCCUGCUCAGGAUCCUGAACGAUCGCUAACAGAAUACAUCCAUCGCUUAGAGGUCAUCCAGCAAAGACUAGGGGGUGUGCAACCAGGACAAGUUCCAGGCCCACCUCGCCAGAGAAGCAUGAAAAAGUGACAAGAACGCUUCCGAGCUCCAUCCCGCGACCCGCUCCCCGAGUUACUGCUUCCUUCUGAGUCGGCCCAUACUGAAUGGAGGCAUUUACCAGCUCUCGUGCAACCGAAUAAAGGGCAGUGCUUUUGCAUCAGAUUUUUAUAUGACUCUUUUU
Molecule: long non-coding RNA, 475 nt
Filed under: Columba livia (rock pigeon)
Lineage: Eukaryota; Metazoa; Chordata; Aves; Columbiformes; Columbidae
Description: partial uncharacterized LOC102084524
Source: RNAcentral